GACGAACGCUGGCGGCGUGCUUAACACAUGCAAGUCGAACGGAAAGGCCCUGCUUUUGUGGGGUGCUCGAGUGGCGAACGGGUGAGUAACACGUGAGUAACCUGCCCUUGACUUUGGGAUAACUUCAGGAAACUGGGGCUAAUACCGGAUAGGAGCUCCUGCUGCAUGGUGGGGGUUGGAAAGUUUCGGCGGUUGGGGAUGGACUCGCGGCUUAUCAGCUUGUUGGUGGGGUAGUGGCUUACCAAGGCUUUGACGGGUAGCCGGCCUGAGAGGGUGACCGGCCACAUUGGGACUGAGAUACGGCCCAGACUCCUACGGGAGGCAGAAGUGGGGAAUAUUGCACAAUGGGCGGAAGCCUGAUGCAGCGACGCCGCGUGCGGGAUGACGGCCUUCGGGUUGUAAACCGCUUUCGCCUGUGACGAAGCGUGAGUGACGGUAAUGGGUAAAGAAGCACCGGCUAACUACGUG
This 468-nucleotide ribosomal RNA is filed under the name uncultured bacterium. RNAcentral's name for it is "partial 16S ribosomal RNA". It matches the Rfam family "Bacterial small subunit ribosomal RNA", at positions 28 to 507 of the family's 1533-position model. The record is from RNAcentral.